UGGGUAACCUGCCUCAAAGAGGGGAAUAGCCUCCCGAAAAGGGAGAUUAGUACCGCAUAAUAUGUUUAAGUCGCAUGACUUUAACAUCAAAGGAUUUUCUUUUAAGAAAUUCCACUUUGAGAUGGACCCGCGGCGCAUUAGCUAGUUGGUGAGGUAACGGCUCACCAAGGCAACGAUGCGUAGCCGACCUGAGAGGGUGAUCCGGCCACAGUUGGAACUGAGACACGGUCCAGACUCCGUAGGGACGG
This 248-nucleotide ribosomal RNA is filed under the name uncultured bacterium. Its description in RNAcentral is "partial 16S ribosomal RNA". It matches the Rfam family "Bacterial small subunit ribosomal RNA", at positions 118 to 348 of the family's 1533-position model. The record is from RNAcentral.